CGGGCGUCCCGGGCGUCCCGGCGGCGGCGUCGGGGCGGAGGGUGGAGGGCGGAAGGCCGGGGCGCGGGCCGUGAACGCACCGCCGGAAGCAGCGGGGCCGCGACUGAGGAUUCAGAGAGGGUCCUACUAGGUCUUCCUGUGACUACGAGUCAAACUCAACAUGAGCCAGAGGGUGAUGCGCAGAAUCAGAAUCAGCAACUGGGCAAGGAUCAGGGUGUGUGCUCCUUGGUUGCUCAAACCUUUUGAAGGUGACAGAAGAGAAGAGUUCAGUGUGAUGUAGGGAUGAGGGGCUUACAGAGCAGAAAGAGUUCCUGAGCUGAGCUGAUCCCCCUGAAGCUUCGUCCUCCUGACAGCUGAGUGAUUCAUCUGGCAGGACUCUAAAGCUCUAUCCUUCACCUUCUCUAUCAGCUGAUGGAUGACCUCACUUCAUUGAGAAAAUGAAGUAAACAGAAGUAAACAGUCUUCCUUCACAAAAUUCACCAAGAGUUGCUAUCCUGGGAAAUCUGUUAUUCUCAAAACCAAGAUGGGUACUGAAUUAAUAUUCUAGACAAAAAUAUAAAAACCAACAAUCUGAAGACACUAGAGACUGACCAAAAGCAUGGAGAAACUAAAGGGUAGUCAACAUGUGGAAAAAAGAAAACAGCACUGGGUUCUCUACCCAAGAGGGUGGAAAACAUGUUCACACAAAACUUAUACACAGGCCCGGCCCGGUGGCUCAGGCGGUGAGCUCCGUGCUCCUAACUCCGAAGGCUGCCGGUUCAAUUCCCACAUGGGCCAGUGGGCU
Molecule: long non-coding RNA, 784 nt
Organism: Rhinolophus ferrumequinum (greater horseshoe bat)
Lineage: Eukaryota; Metazoa; Chordata; Mammalia; Chiroptera; Rhinolophidae
Exons: 6
Source: RefSeq, a predicted model, not a curated record